CAGCAGCCGCGGGAAUACGAAGGGUGCAAGCGUUGUCCGGAAUUAUUGGGCGUAAAGAGCUCGUAGGCGGUUUGUCGCGUCUGCUGUGAAAACUCGAGGCUCAACCUCGGGCCUGCAGUGGGUACGGGCAGACUAGAGUGCGGUAGGGGAGACUGGAAUUCCUGGUGUAGCGGUGGAAUGCGCAGAUAUCAGGAGGAACACCGAUGGCGAAGGCAGGUCUCUGGGCCGCAACUGACGCUGAGGAGCGAAAGCAUGGGGAGCGAACAGGAUUAGAUACCCCUGUAGUCCCUGUCUCUUAUAC
This 301-nucleotide ribosomal RNA is filed under the name uncultured bacterium. Its description in RNAcentral is "partial 16S ribosomal RNA". It matches the Rfam family "Bacterial small subunit ribosomal RNA", at positions 509 to 807 of the family's 1533-position model. The record is from RNAcentral.